CUGUCCUUACCUUUCCUUGCGCCAUUUCCCUUCAUAGGACACGGGCAGGGUGCUAGGUGUGCAUCCUCACAGGCUAGGUCUUGGGAGCCAUGGAGAAGGAAGAGCAGAGAAAAAUCAUGAGGGGCAGUGGGUGCUGAAGUGGAGUGGUGACUCUGAUUACUCAUCUCUGUUCAUUGAGUUGGGCUCAGGUAGAUGACAAGGGAGAGGAAGGCAGGGAUGAGGGCAAGAUUUCAUGCAUGAAUCGAACUGUUUGUACUGAUGGCUCAUGGGUGGGUUUUGCAGGUGCACUUCCAGAGGAAGUGUCCAGGAGCCCCAGCCCGAGGAGAAGCUGGCAGAAGUGGAUGUGAUCAGCCUGAACAUCCUUCUAAGCAGACAUGAGCAGUCCUCAGCUUUCUGCCUCGCACAUAACACUUCAUGACUUGUAGCAGCACGGCUGAAGCUUAAGAUAAAUGCAUGGUAGAGGCUGAGUACAGGCGGCUGCUUCACUUUAGUUCCACAGACAAAGAAGUCAAGGCUGCGCUUCUAGAGGAAUCAUGGAGGAGCAGUAGCCAAAGGAGAAGGUGGCAGAUGUGGACCUGAGCAGCUUGGGCAUUCUUCUAAGCAGAGAUUAACAGUCCUCAGCUUUCUGCCUUGCACAUAACUGGCUUAUUGUUCACAGGCCGUGUGCUUCCUCGUUGGGUACAGGACUCUGUGGUAUUAAGGCUGGGGAGUGGCCAGAGUCUGCUGUUCAGAGUGACUGUUGGAUGCUGUUGCAAGGGCUGCUUUUUGGCUGAAAUGCUAAAGGUGUCAUGGGAAGAGUGUUGAGGGUGGAGCGCCGCCAUGUGGGAGAGGUGAAAAGAAGAGCUAAUGCGAUGUUGCCCGCUUAGAUGAGGCCCGCUCAAGGCCAAUGGAGCCGCCCCAGACAGAGGAGAAGCAUCUGGAGGAACCAGACCUGCACAAUCUAGAUGUUUUUCACUUGGCAGUGGAGCUAAGGAGUGCUCUUGUGAUAUUUGAGGAGCAGGUACGGAUGCCCAGUUAGCUACGGCUCAGUGUGUAACAAAAUGAGCUGUGGAUAUGUGGGAGACAAGGUCCCCAUUUUCAGCAUCAGCUCAUUUCUCCGUUCACAAGCGGUGUGUCCUCUGCAGAAAAGCUUGGAUCCAGGAGGAUGAUUCCAGCUGCGCUGGUACAGGAAUUGUCCAGGAACCCUACCCGGAGGAGAGAGACUCAGAAGUGAACCUGAUCAGCCUGAACAUUCUUCUAAGCAGACAUGAACAGUCCUCAGCUUUCUGCCUCCUGCAUAAAUGGCUGAAAAGAAGUCAUGUGCCAGUCUACUGCCCUCAUGUGAUGGAAAGCGAGCGAGAGCGAUGAGACCGUGAGCAUGGUUGAUGCCACGCAAAAGCCGUCCAUCUGGCAGCAGAAGAGCCGUCGCUGUCAGUGAGAUAAGUGUCUGUUUUGGUGAGGGCUCUGCUCAUGGCCCACGUUGAUGCUGGUAGGGAUGCCCCGUUAGCUAGGGCUGGGUUUGUAAGAAAAGGUUCCUGACUAGCUGUGGUUGUAAGAGAGACAAGGUUCCCAAUUUCAGGGGCUGAUGAUUCCUCUGGUCAGGAGCAGUGUGACUUAUGCAGCAGAAAGUAGCAUCUAGAGGAUGACUCCAGGUGUCGAGUUACUUGCCUUCCUCCCAUGUUUCUCUGUCUUCUCUAUUGUGUUGGCCAACACUCUCGCUCUUUCAUUCUCUCUUCCUUGCCUUUCCUGGUGCUGUCUCUACGCAGGACGCGGGAAAAGGGUGCUAGGUGUGCAUCCACACAGUCUACGUCUUUGGGACCCAUGAAAAAUUAGGAGGGUAUGAAAAUCAUGCAUAUUAGUGGGUGCCACAGUGGAGCAGUGCCUGUGGGUGUUGACUUGGUCUUUAAUCAUCACCUGGGGAUGAUGUAGACCAAAUGAGAGAGGGAGGCAGAGAUUAGGGCAAGAUUUCACGUACCUUCAGAGCUUUGUAUAAUGCUGUCUCAUCCUUGGCUUUUGCAACUGCACUGGCAGAGGAAUUGUCCAGGAGCGCUGUCUGGAGGAGAGACUCUCAAAAGUGGACCUGAACAUCCUUCUAAGCAGACAUGAACAGUCCUCAGCUUUCUGCCUCCUGCAUAACUGGCUUACCAAGGGAAAAGAAGUCACGUAUCAAUCUACUGUCCUCAUGCGAAGGAAAGCGAGACCGACGAGACCGCGAUCAUUGUCGAAAUCAGGCAUUAGCUGUACAUCUGGGAGCGGAGCAGUCACCGCUGUCAGUGAGAUAAAUGUCUGGUUUGGUGAGGGAUCUGCUCAUGGUCCACCUGGCUCCAGGUAGGGAUGCCCCAUUAGCUGGGGCUGGGUUUGUAAGAAAAGAUUCCUGACUAGCUGCUGUUAUGAGGGA
Molecule: long non-coding RNA, 2377 nt
Organism: Mauremys mutica (yellowpond turtle)
Lineage: Eukaryota; Metazoa; Chordata; Testudines; Geoemydidae
Exons: 9
Source: RefSeq, a predicted model, not a curated record